This 73-nucleotide transfer RNA is filed under the name Daphnia pulicaria. RNAcentral describes it as "tRNA-Gly". It matches the Rfam family "tRNA". From Rfam's summary of the family: Transfer RNA (tRNA) molecules are approximately 80 nucleotides in length. The record is from RNAcentral. Lineage: Eukaryota; Metazoa; Arthropoda; Branchiopoda; Diplostraca; Daphniidae.
GCGAUGGUGGUAUAGUGGUUAGCAUAGUUGCCUUCCAAAGCAAUUGACCCGAGUUCGAUUCUCGGCCAUCGCA